GGCUAUAUAGCAUUAAACAACGGUUCCCGUGCGAUCACCAAAGUUAAGCAACCCCGAGCCUGGUCAGUACCUAGAUAGGUGACGGCUUAGGAAUACCAUUUGCUGUAAG
Molecule: non-coding RNA, 109 nt
Organism: Acanthosepion pharaonis
Lineage: Eukaryota; Metazoa; Mollusca; Cephalopoda; Sepiida; Sepiidae
Source: the annotation of a GenBank genome assembly